GACGAACGCUGGCGGCGUGCUUAACACAUGCAAGUCGAGCGGAGCGGCGAACGGGUGAGUAACGCGUGAGUAACUGCCCCCCUCCCUGGGAUAACAGUUGGAAACGGCUGCUAAUAACGGAUAGUGGGGGAUGACUCGCGUCCUAUCAGCUUGUUGGUGGGGUAGUGGCCUAUCAAGGCGACGACGGGUAGCCGGCCUGAGAGGGCGACCGGCCACAUUGGGCUGAGAUACGUCCCAAACUCCUACGUGAGGCAGCGGGGGGGAAUAUUGCACAAUGGUGGAAACCCUGAUGCAGCAACGCCGGGUGCGGAAUGUCGGCCUGGGGGUUGUAAACCGCUUUCAGCCAUGACGCGGUAUUUGCAGAAGAAGCACCGGCUAACUACGUGCCAGCCGCCGCGGUAAUUC
This 405-nucleotide ribosomal RNA is filed under the name uncultured bacterium. Its description in RNAcentral is "partial 16S ribosomal RNA". It matches the Rfam family "Bacterial small subunit ribosomal RNA", at positions 28 to 526 of the family's 1533-position model. The record is from RNAcentral.